GGAAGGAAACACUUUCUAUAUGACUCUAGCGGCUGGGGGGAACACUUACUCUAGCCCUUCCUAUGCGUGGUCUCGGGGCGCGCCGCGUAGAACCGGCGCGAGAGACACCGGCGAACACCUCCUCCGCGGUUCCAGCAGCCGUACAGACCGAGAGGACGACGCAGGGAGGGCGCAUGCGCAGCCCACGUCCUGCCUCCCGGCGCACGUUUUACGUCCCCAACGGGGAGGCGGGGCCGCAGCUUGCGCGUGCGCAGGCGCACUAAGCCGGGAGGCGUUUCUCGGAGAGUAAACCACCCAAGGAAAGUGUACGGAAUCUUUGGUGGCGAGUCCUUCGUAUUAAUGCUGAACUUGGACGUCCUAAGUUUUCUCUUCCACCCCUGUUUGUGAAGAAUCUGGGGAGUUUGUGAGUGCAAAUAUAUAUAUAUAUAUAUUUCAGCUGUGUGCGGUUGCCACGCUACACCUUCUCCCUCCGGGUAAAUGGAAUUUCAAAACUUACGGAAAAGUAAAAGGAACUCAGAAAAGUGCAGACUUGGCCCCAAGGUCCAAACUACGGCCCGCUUUGCUCCUACCUUAUCCGCACUCAGACGCCACACGCUUUUUGGAGCUGGUCUGUCCAGAAGCUGUUUCUUAAGAACGACUGGUCAUAGUGCGUGUGGGCCUUGAGUAACAUGCCCAGCUGUUUUCUGCGCUUAAUUAACCAAAUCUGCAUGAUCUGAUUAACCCAGAUGUUAGAACAUUGAUCCCAGAGAAAGAAGAAACCAUCUGUGGAAUUUAUCCCUGGAUGGACCUCUCAGUUGCUUGAUCUGAUAUCCUGAGAAUCCCAGAAACCAAGGUUGGCAGACUCAGCUUUCCGCAGCUCAGUAGCCUGUGAAAUGUUUACGGGGAGCAAUUGGGUCUCAGUAGUUUAGGACGGGACCGUCACUGUCAAAGCUGAGCUGAAAGCUGAGAAUUGGGGAAGUGGGGAAGGACUGUUCUACUAUGACCGACCUUGAUUGAAUAGCUACAGAAUUCAUUGGAGAACCCAGCAGCUUUUCACUGAGCAAGGAACGGAUCACACUAAAGUGUUCCUUCUCCUGGGUGUUAACACAGAAACAUCAUUUCGAGACAGGAGGCAACUUUACCUUGCAUUCUUCCCUUUCCUCAUUUUGUAGCGGAAAAUAUCUUGAGUACUUGACAGCAAGAAAAUGAAUAAUACCCACUCCUGAGCAACCUGAGGGUAGGAACUUUGCAUAUAAAUCAGGGGCCCGAUAGUUACCUCCCUCAAAAAAAAAAAAGAAAGAAAAGAAAAGGAAGGUAGAAGCUAUCAGCAAAGUCCUAAAAUACCACGUAUAUUGUCAAAACAACUUUAAUUUGAAAAGUCAGUUCCACCUUGUAAAGUUUUCAGCACCGCUCCCGCCUAACAUUGGGGUGGAAGGUUUUGAAACGACGUCAAAAGUAAUUCAUAACAAAACCCAAACGCAGCAACUGCUUUCUGUACUCCAACCUGCCCAGAGUACCUGGAGCGCCGGAAAGUGGAUCCGCGCUCCGUCCUCCCCUAUGGGCCGAAGCUCUGCAUGCCUCCCUCCCCACUUUAAGCCCCUAGUCUCGAGUCUCGAGCGCAGGAGAUGCCCAGAGAAAAGCAGGGUCACUCACCGGUGAGGAGCCAGCAGCAGGCGACAGCGACCCCUGGGCUGGCGCGGCGCCGGGGGGCCAUAGUUGGAGCGGCCGCAGCGCCCGGGGGACGCGCUGGAUCGGAGGGAAGGACUCGGCGAAACCACGCGCUGGAGCCUCGUUGCUCUGGGCCACUCCGCCCGCUGCCGUGGGUCUCAGUCGCUGGCCCCGCUGGCCCCGGCGCCUGGGAGCAGCACAGCGAUUUCCUGUGUUUUCGACCAGCCCCUCUAAGUUCGCUUCAAGCUUCUCGCAUCCCAGAGGGAUUGCCACAUCUCCCCGCCGUUCGCACUCUCGGGCUCUGAAAUCCCACUGGCAGCCUCCCAGGCUCUUUCCGAGACAUGGACAAAUAAAGCCAGCUUCGCGGGUCCUUGUUUAGGCUAAAGUCCACGAGCUGCGAAGCAAACCUUAAAGGGACAUCUGCCUUUCAUUGAGAGGGUGAUUCCGCUCCCCGCGCCAACUCCCCAAGGUAGUAGGAACGCAGCCGAGGGCCGGACCUUCGGAGGGUGUCUCCAGCCCAGUGGCUCCGCCUUCGCACCCCUCACUUCUCCCCGGGUCUGGGCACUGAGGGCACUUUCAAAGUGCCGGGCUCCUAGGCCCUUAAAGGGAGGCUGCUUUUCUGGGGUCCGAUUGCGCAGAAGGGAUCGGUCCGUUUAUGCAAGUGAGCAGAUCUGGUAACCCUCGUGCCUCUCCUGUGGACACUUGAACUUCGCUGUCCAGUCUUCUCGCACUAAUAGUGGGUGGGGGCGUCCACCCCGACACGCCCCGCUGAGGGCUUGGCUUUCACUUAUGGAGGGUUUCCUUCCUUUAUGGCGAUUCGUGGUCGCAGGGAGGCUUUUCUUUGGGAAGACUGUGAUAAGCUGGGGGAAAGGAGAACCAAGACUGGGGGAAAACAAGAAAGAAAGAAAUGCAAGAGGGAAGCGGGAGGGGAAGGAAGGGAGGAAAACAGUCUCGUUAGAAAUGGAAUGUGUGUGGGCAAUUUUGUUUAAUCUGAAUUAGGAUGUUUGUACACUGGAAGUUGAAUCUAAUAAAGA
This is a long non-coding RNA of Mesoplodon densirostris (Blainville's beaked whale), 2681 nucleotides long. RefSeq lists it as uncharacterized. Lineage: Eukaryota; Metazoa; Chordata; Mammalia; Artiodactyla; Ziphiidae. The record is from RefSeq and is a predicted model, not a curated record. The transcript has 3 exons.